AGUAGCAGGACAUUAAGCGGUAAAGGCAUAAAUGAAUCAUUGAGAUUAAUGAGGAGAGCACGCCCUCUGCUGCCUCCUGGGUGUAACAACAAAAUACAAAUAUAUAAAGUGAACAAAUCCAAAACUCUUCAUUUUAAAAUGCACAGCCAAUCACAGCAUGUGCGUCAAAAUGUGACCUCCAGCGUCCCCCUCAUAGUCAGGGCAUUUGAGGAGAGCAGGGUUACUGGCGCCCAUCUGGAUGGAGGAGGCCUCGCUAGAGAUGUCGGAGGCACUGCGGCCCCUUGACCACACCUCCGGGUGCAGGAAGUGACCCGAGUGGUCUGAGCAGUUGCUGAGGCGAGGUCUGUAGAAUGUGUGAUGGCGAGGUCUGUAGAUCUCUGCUGUGUACCGCUUCAUGAACAAGUAGACCGACAUGACACCUGCGCUCUGGCACAAAGAGUAAGUGUGAAGUUAAAGCAGGGCAUCCACAUUAUCUACCCCUCAGCCAACCCUAAUCCUUCUCCAAACCGUAACCACAACACCACCGUUUACACAAACCCAAACUCAACAAUAAUAACCCUGACCUUUAACUCCAACCUUAAACCCAAUCCUGCCCAGGGCUGGAUUGGCCAUCGGGAGGUUUGGUCGGUGAACCGACCAAAAAUUGGCCAAUGAACGACCGUUUAUUUAGUUAUUUGCGGUUGCGCUUCACUGCAACGCUAUAUUAAAUGGAAAUUGAUACAUUCCAGGCACUAAGACCAAGCGGAAAACGGUCGCUCAAUUCGAAGACCGCAAGCUCGUCGAUUGGCUCUUUCCGUAUCUUGCUAACCUGUGAUUGCCCAUCCCAGCUGUCACUCCAUGAGCGCUUGGACGUCCUCCACGGUGUUUUGCUAGUUGGCCAAGAAGGUCGCGUUCAUAUCGCUCGCUAUCAUGUUAACAUGUUGGCCGUUUGUUCUGCCUGAGAAGCCAAACUCCUUACUUAAAUGACCCAUCAGCUAAGCAGAACAACGUUCCUCGUCACGAAAAUCCGACCAGAACUGGACUCGCGGGAACAAAUGGUGAGCAGGAAGGAGAUGGCAGCAAAGGCAAAGGACCAUCCAUACUUGUACUUAAAGUAGACCUCGUGGCUUCUGGUCCUGUUCAACACCUCAUCGUUGAUGCUGGAUAUGUACAGCACCAGACCCACCACCAGAGCCAGACCUGGGACACACAGACCAUGAUGAGAUCUAGAAGAACACACACAGGAUGAGAAAUAGAGGAUGGAUGCUCAGCAUACCUGACAGGAUGAAGAAGAUUCCUGAAACAAAAGCCAGGAUGGUGUGAUGGGGCCUGACGUGGCCGAUGUUGUUGAGGACGAAGCCGAUGAACAUAAAGAAGAGGCUGACCACGGGGAAAGGAGUCGCUGAGCGGAUCAUCUCUAGAAGGAAAGUCAUCAUUUCAAGUAGCACUGAUACAUUUUACUUUCCGCAGUGGAAGUCAUCUACUCACUCAGGAUAUUGACUGUGGACUCUGACGUGAACUUGACAUUGGCAGGCAUCAUGUACUCAAUGGUGAAGCAUCCACCUGCCUCGCCUCCUAAAACACACAGGAGGAUCUUUGACCAGCAUUUAUGCAGUAGGUCCUUCAGAGCAGCAGACCACUCAUGUCUUAUAGAGGAUCUUUGGUGAGCCUUUUGCAGUAGGUCCUCAAAAACAGCAGAAUGCUACUGUCUUAUAGAGCAUUUUUGCAAUCGGUACUCAAAAACAGCAAAGCACUCUUGUUUUACAGAGGAUCUUUGAUGAGCAUUUUUGCAGUAGGUCCUCAAAAACAGCAGAGUACUGCUGUCUUAUAGUGGCUCUUUGAUGAGCGUUUUUGCAGUAGAUACUUAAAAACAGCAGAGCACUUCUGCCUUAUAGAGGAUCUUUAACAAGUGUUUUUGCAGUAGGUCCUCAAAAACAGCAGAAUGCUGCUCUGUUACAGACAAGCUUUUUUCAACAAAUGCAAAGCAGUCCUGUCUUACAAAGGCUCUUUGACUAGCUUUUUUGUAGUUGGUCCUCAAAAACAGCAAAGCACUGCUGUCUUAUACUUUAUGGGGCGUUUUUGGUACUUAAAAAACAGCAGAGCACUUCUGCCUCAUAGAGGAUCUUUGAUGAGCAUUUUUGCAGUAGGUCCUCAAAAACAGCAGCAUGCUGCUGUCUUACAGGGAAUUUUUGACAAGCAUUUUUGCAAUAGAUACUCAACGACAGCAAAGCGCUCCUGUCUUAUAAAGGCUCUUUGACUGGAUUUUUUGCAGUAGGUCCUCAAAAACAGCAGAACACUGCUGUCUUGUAGUGGAUCUUUGAUGACCGCUUUUGCAUUAGGUACUUAAAAACAACAGAGCACUUCUGCCUCUUUGACAAGUGUUUUUGCAGUAGGCCCAUAAAAACAGCAGAGCGCUCUUCUCUUAUAGAGGAUCUUUGACGAGCAUUUUUGCAGUAGGUCUUCAAAAACAGCAGAAUGCUGCUGUCUUACAGGGGAUCUUUGAAAAGAAUUUUUGCAAUAUAUACUCAACAACAGCAAAGCGCUCCUGUCUUUAUAAAGGCUCUUUGACUAGCUUUUUUGCAGUAGAUACUUAAAAACAGCAGAGCACUUCUGCCUUACAGUAUAGAGGAUCUUUGACAAGUGUUUUUGCAAUAGGUAUUCAACAACAGCAAAGUGCUCCUGUCUUAUAAAGGCUCUUUGACCAGGGGAAAGUUUUAACAAUCAUAAUAAAGCAGUAUCCAAAGUACAAAAAUACGUACAACCAAUACGUAAAGCCUAAUUUUCGACCGCUGCGGGUGCACCAUAUGAUCAUCAAACGUACUUAUUUGGUCAUAUGAUGCACACACAGCAAUGAACAACUUCCUGCUCUGUUCUGCUUGUGCUGUGAGGCGUUCAGGCGCACUCAUAAUUGUGAGUGUUAGGCGCUAAUUGUUUUUCGUUUUUUAUUCACGUACCCCCUAUGACAAUGACAACUGGGGUACCCCGGGGGUACAUGUACCCCACUCUGGGACACUAGGUUAUAGAGGAUCUUUGACAAGUGUCUCUCCAGUACGUCCUUAUAAACGGCAGAGCGCUGCUGUCUUAUAGAGGAUCUUUGACAAACGUUUUUGCAGUAGACCCUUAAAAACAGAAGAGUGCUCAUGUCUUAUAGAGGGUCCUUGACUAGUGGUUUUACACUAGGCCCUUAAAAGCAACAGACCACUCCUCUCUUAUAGAGGAUCUCUGACAAGUGUUCUUGCAGUGGGCCCUUAAAAGCACGCUCUUGUUUUAUGGAGGAUCUUUGACUAGCAUUUUGCAGUAGAGCAAGUCCAUAAAAAAGCAGAGCACUCCUGUCUUCUAGAGGAUCUUUGACUGGCAUUUUGGCAGUACAGUAAGUCUAUAAAAACAGCAGUAGUUAAAUAGCCAUGAUGUAACCCAUUGAUUGUCAAACAAGUCCCACUGCUAGCAGGUCAUCUCGUGUCAUUCUUUGUGGAAGCUGCAGUGAUGCUGACGUCAUCAUCUUCCUGUGGCGUCCACAUUUGGAGCUGUGACACACAAAGAGGCUUUGUUACCCACCCGUCAGGAAGCAGACCCUCCAGAGGCCGGAGUGCAGCGAGCUCCUGAUGUCGGCGCUCUGGUUGACGGGCACGAUGACGCCUUCUUCCAGAAUUGGACAGAAUGAGAGCAAAGAAGCAACACACUCGUACCACUUUGGGCUUAAACGGUGGUUGGAUCUCCCUGUUGGCCAGGCGCUCCCAGUCGAUGCGUCGGAAGAAGGCCUGCUCCCUGAUGUCCCUCUCGCCCUCCGGCCCGCAGCCGAGACGCUUUGAAGGAUGUUUGGUCAUCAGCUAGGAGGGACGACAAGUGUGAUGUCAUCAUUAUUACAUGAUCAUGAGAUGUGAAGCAAACAAGUGGAUGAUAUCGGAUCGUCUCAAGUGUGUAAAUAAGCUCCGAAAGCUCAUUUCCUUCCUAAUGGCAAUGACGGCGAUGCCCACAAAGUGACACCCGGGUGUUGGAGGUGCAGCUGGACACGACAAUAACACUCACCCAGGAAAGUACAGUACCUGUCCCAUUACUGCAUGUACACUGUUACCUAUUUGAACAGGUGCCAUACCAUACGUACCCCUUUGCAGAUGGACACCGCUUCUUUGGACAUGGACUUGGGGUAGGACACGUUGUGCUCCAUGAUGGACUGGAAGAGCUCGUCCUCGUCCUCGCCAUCAAACGGCGGCUGUGAAGGAAAUGUCAUAAAUUCAAGUCAAUUUAAUGUGAAAUACAAUUAAAAAAAGCUAGUGUCCGACUGAUUUGCAUUGCAUGUAAACAGAGCAGUGGAGGACCCAGUAGAAAUGUAGUACUAGCACCGAUGCUAACACUGUUGCUGCUAACGCAAGAAAGUUCAUGUAACUGUUAUUUCUCUCUAAAAAUAUAUAUAUAUAAAUAUAAAUAUCUACAUAAAAUAAUUACAAUAUAAAUAAAUAUAUUUUAUGUAAAAAAUCAUUCUUUAUAGAAAAUUUGUGUCUCUCUGACUUUAUUUCUAUAUUUCAAAAUAUAUAAAUAGAAAUAUCUAAAUAAAAUAGAAAUCAAUAGAGUUGAUAUAAAACACAAUUUUAUAUUUAAAAAAAUUGAAUAAAAUUCCCAUGAAGUUGCUGUGCAGGAAAAUUGAUGUAUAUCAGACUUUUUAUUUUUAUAAAUACAUGAUAAAAAUACAUGACUAUAACAUAAAUAUGGUUUAUGUAAAUAAACAAUUAUAUUAAAACAAAUAGAAAAAAUGCUACUAUUUGAAAUGUUGUUUAAUAUUAAAAAUGUUACAAAUUAAAAAACAAUGGAAAUGAAUUUUAUUCUUGCUUCAGGUAGAACCCACCCCCCCCAAGGAAAUUUAUGUAUAUCAGACUUUUAAAAAAAUAUUAAUUAAAAAAAUACAUGAAUAAAAUAUAUAUAUGGUUUAUGUAAAUAAAUACUUUUAUUUUAAAAAUACUAUUUGAAAUGUUUCAUAUUAAAAAUAUGAAAAAUUCAAAAACAAUGUUAAUGCGUUUUAUUGUUGCUUCAGAGAGAACACCCCCCCCCCCCACCACCACCCCCCACCCCCAAAUAUUUACGACGUACGGUAAAUCCAAUAUAAUUGAUCUCACGUCAUUCCUGGAGGCUCAAAGCCCCGAGAGGCCAGGUUGGAUAUUGCUAUGAUAUGCUGUGAUGUAAUAACCAGCAGCCCGUUCCUUUACUGAUGUGUUUCUUUGGCCGUUCUUCUUACCUGUCCUGCCAGCAUCUCGUAGAGAAGAACUCCAUAAGCCCACCAGUCCACUGACUUUCCAUACGGCUGGUAGGCUAUAAUCUGAUCAAGAAAAGAAGACGAGGAUGAGUCCAGUCUUGGAAAAAAAACCCACGUCAUCCAAACUCCGCUAUUCAGAGAGGCUAACAAAGGAGCUUUUCUCCUAACAUCCAAUUUACUGUCGCACAUCUCCCUCCCACGCCUGCACACGCACGACCAUCAGAUAGACGUGCCAAAAAAAGAACAAAACUGCAGCUGCACUUUGCACGAAAAGUAUCAAUUUGUGCCAUUCCCUGAAUUUAUAAUCAGCACAGAAAAAAGUACAAA
Dunckerocampus dactyliophorus (ringed pipefish) is the source of this 5551-nucleotide long non-coding RNA. RefSeq lists it as uncharacterized. The record is from RefSeq and is a predicted model, not a curated record. The transcript has 4 exons. Lineage: Eukaryota; Metazoa; Chordata; Actinopteri; Syngnathiformes; Syngnathidae.